GUCUUUUUGAGUAUAAUUUAAAGUCUAACCUGCCCACUGAAUUUUUAAAUGGCCGCGGUAUUUUGACCGUGCAAAGGUAGCAUAAUCAUUAGUUUUUUAAUUGAAAGCUAGAAUGAAUGGUUGAACGAGGUAAAAUCUGUCUCAAUUUAAUUGGAAUUAGAAUUUUAUUUUUAAGUUAAAAAGCUUAAAUGUUUUUAAAAGACGAGAAGACCCUAUAGAGCUUUAUAAAAUUUUUAUAUUUUGAUAUUUAGAAUUAAUAAUUUUUUAUUAAAAAUUUUAUUUUAUUGGGGUGAUAAGAAGAUUUAAUAAACUCUUUUUAUUUUUAUUCAUUGAUUUAUGAAUUAUUGAUCCAGUAUUAUUGAUUAAAAGAUUAAGUUACCUUAGGGAUAACAGCGUAAUUUUUUUAGAGAGUUCUUAUCGAUAAAAAAGAUUGCGACCUCGAUGUUGGAUUAAAGAUAAAUUUAGGUGUAGAAGCUUAAAAGUUUAGGUCUGUUCGACCUUUAAAUCUUUACA
RNAcentral lists this ribosomal RNA (513 nucleotides) under Derodontus emaculatus. RNAcentral's name for it is "partial 16S ribosomal RNA". It matches the Rfam family "Bacterial large subunit ribosomal RNA", at positions 1893 to 2600 of the family's 2925-position model. Lineage: Eukaryota; Metazoa; Arthropoda; Insecta; Coleoptera; Derodontidae. The record is from RNAcentral. RNAcentral also lists the same sequence under 1 other name.